AAUGAGUCUGGGAAAGGAAUCUACUUCCAUUUCUACUGCUUCUAGGGCUGAAAUGAAAAUAUGACUAGAAAAUUUAAUGUAAAGACAGAAGCUGUCUGUACAGACAGAAGAAUUCUGUGUGUUUUUGUGAAGUUUGAUAGUGGAGAGAAGCUCUCAUGUGAGAGAGGAGUCCUUACAGUAAUUACAGUGGGAAGUUCCUGUUCACACAAAGGAAGUAAGGACUAGAUUCCCAGCAAAUUAAAUCAGAGUAAAUCAGCAUGAAAUGCCAGAGCACUGUGACAAAUCUUUCCCCAAACUACACAAUCGUCUCAUUUCUCAAGCUCCUUCAGCUUCAUGGUAUUCCUUGGUAGGAAGAGCCACUGCAGACCGAAUAAAAGAAUGGAUUUUCCUUGUGAUUUUACAUUUAUCUCUUUUGAAGAGUACCUCAGGGUCUACUCAUGUGUGAAAUUACAUGAGCAAGACACAGAGAAGAGACUCAGGAAGUUUCUGCCCCAUUUAAAAAAUAAAAAUAAAAAAAAAAAAAAAAAAGAAGAAAAAAGAAAGUGGUUUAAUAUGCAUUAACAGAGAGAGAAGAGCCUGCAGAAGUUCUGUUCCUGUGAAAUACUGGACCAUGUGUCCUAGCCAGACAUUCUGGCUGCUAAGUUAUAUCUUCCCUUGCAUAACUGUUCAGGUCCAGGGUCUGAAGUGCUUCUGAUUAUGCUUCUCUCUCUUUAUCAAGGAAUAGUUUUGAAAAUAAAUGGUAGCUGUAUUAUUUCUGUAUAGAAGGUCUUAGUUUAUGUGCAGCUAUGCCAAAGCAUAUCAUGUUCAGGGCACUUAAUUUUUCUUGACCUAUAAAAAGUAGUGACAUGAAACCUGUUAGGAGGUAGAGAAGAGAUAACCCAGCUUUCAUUUUGUGGCAAUAUCUAAGAGGUGUUUUGCAUGUAUAGUUUUAUUUUGAUGACUGGAGUCCCCUGCUAUGGAACCUGAAAUGAGCAGAAAAGUAUGGAGUUUUUUUGUAAGGGAGCUUUUGACAGCGUGUAUUCAAGAAAUGCAGCCAGACUCAUCUCUGGAAGAGGAAUGAGGCUGCUGAUAAAGCCCAGUAGGUAUCCGCCAAUAUGGUUAAGAAAGACAGAGUACUUUAGGUCCUUUGUCAGAUCUUCCUUAAAAUACAGAGGGAAGAUCUUUAAAACAGAAGAAAAGAGGGCAUGGGGAACAAAAGCACAUUCUAAAAACACAUUCUAAUAAAUUCGCUUGUUCUCUGUUGUGUUCAUGUGAGUGAAACAGAUCAGGAAUUGCUAUUGUUCUGGUAAAAAUCUGUGACUUUUGUGUUGUGCAAGAAUCAUGUUAGUCAGGAUGAACCCUACAGGGGACUAUAUGUGAGACUAGUGUUCAUGAAUAACAUUUGCUUGCUCAAAAGAUUAGGUGGAAGUGGCUUUGGGACUUCAAUUUGGAUUCCUUAAUGGAUUCAUUGCCAACUGAAUAAACAAGAAAAAUUAGGACCUUAAGCUGGUUUUCUCUAGGAGUUUCUGUUUAUUUUUUCUCGGCUUCUUCAUUUUGUGGGUCUGGUCCCCUGCUUAGCUUCUGAGAUUGAUGAGCUGGCUGAUCUGUCUAACUCCCUCUUUAGACCAUGAGGCUAUGUUAGUUGUUUAAAAAAAUAGUGGAAAUUUCAUCCCACUUUGAUAUGUCUCAAAGUGUGUUCUGGCUAUUAAAGGCUGAGGCUUCUUUCCAGUUUUUGUAUAGAGGCUUAUUACUGUGGGACAACUGGGUCUUCCUGGAAGCUCACCUUUGGGAGAGGCACAAAACUAAUUAUGAAAUCAGGUACAUCUUAAAAAAAAUAGUUGUUUUGCAUUAUAAAUGCAAGGCUGCAAUUCUCCUGUCCUGCUAACGAUGGCAAAAACUGUUCUUAAAAACUGUCCAAGGAGAUUCAGCUGCGUUAUGAUAGCAUAGUAGUGGGCUGGAUUUCUUACUUCACACAUUUCAGAAUUGUUUCUAUCUCCAUUUUUAUGGAAAAAUGAGAGGCACGCAACUAGAAAGACAUCCUAAUUUGAAGUGAAAGGUAUGUGACAAGGGUGACACCUGUUUUCCCCCUUGAUCUCUUUUGAAAAAUGCAUAUAACUGUCUGGACCAAAAGUUGUGCAUGGUUUUUGUUAGUUGAUGUAUCACUGUGUGAAUUCAGCAUCUAACUGGAAAGUCACUUUUGGAAGUGGAACACAACUGGUGGUGAAACCAGAUGUUACUCCAUCUCCUUCAGUCUACAGGCUGGUCUCUAAAGAUGAUGAGGACUUGGAAAUGUGCCUUAUCACAGAUUAUUCCCCUGAAAAGCUUACUCUUAACCGGGCUGUUAAUGAGACAGAUGCAGUUGUGGAGGUGACAACAUCCGAGAACGAACAAGAAGCAAGCUACCUGUCAACCUACUGGGCCAAGAAAGAUGAAAUGCAGUGUUCUGCAAAUCAUGAGGGCUUUGGAGAACUGGAGGGCGAGGAUCCUGAAAGCGGUGUCAGUGCUGUCUGUGUUACAGGGAUAUCUCUACACUUCAGGACAGAUGAAAACCUGAACAUGCUGUCUUUAUCACAGCUGGGCCUGAAAAUAAUUUUAAUGAAAGGAGUAAUUUUUAAUGUGCUGAUGACGAUGCUUAUGUGGAAAAAAAAGAAUGAAAGUAACCAGAUGGUGCAGUCCUGAAGUACCAAAAAAAUCUGCUGAGGAAUGUUUACCAGAGCAUCAUGUGCAAGAGGGAUUCGUGCUGCAGGGAACGUCACCUGCUGUUCCUGCAUAUCGCACCAACCAUUAUAGUCUACAUUGCUUUAUUUGCAUGGUUAUUAAUAGGCUUAAAAUUCUCAGCAUAUUGCUCCCCCACAUACCUGAUCAAUUUAGCAUGACAAUGCCGUUCUUGCAUGAAGCACAGUUUGCUAGAACUAUAAAUUGCCGAAGGUCACAAUUACUUGUGUUAAACUGACACACAAUUUCUGCUUGGGGCACUGUUGUUGAAAACUGCAAGCUAAAUAUCACUUGAACGUGAACUUUUCGUAUUUUGAUAGCUUUCAGGUCUGCACAUCUUGGAGUGCACCCCACAGACACCAUUUCAGUUGCAAAUGGAACGUGCUGAAAAGAGUCUUAUUCAAGGUGCUAUGCACCAUGUCCUGCUACCUUAAGUUACUACUUUUGCUCUUUCUUUUUAGUUCUUACAACCUUAGAAUUCCCAAUUUCUUUUUUAAUCAUGCCAUAAAAAUAUACUGGAAUAUUUACCUGUCCACGUGUUCUUGGAAACAAUGGAUGCAUGUGAAACUCACAGGCUGCUAAUUCUUGAAUUGUACUUGCAACCAACCCCUCUGAUGUCUUGGCAUUUCUUUAGGCCUUUGGCUGCUAUUAAACAAUUCUUAUUAAAAAUAAGAAA
Non-coding RNA from Columba livia (rock pigeon), 3370 nucleotides. The record is from the annotation of a RefSeq genome assembly. Lineage: Eukaryota; Metazoa; Chordata; Aves; Columbiformes; Columbidae.